Molecule: microRNA precursor, 62 nt
Filed under: Macaca mulatta (Rhesus monkey)
Lineage: Eukaryota; Metazoa; Chordata; Mammalia; Primates; Cercopithecidae
Description: Mml-Mir-489-v2_pre stem-loop
Rfam family: mir-489 microRNA precursor family
Source: RNAcentral
UGGUCGUAUGUGUGGCGCCAUUUACUUGAACCUUUAGGAGUGACAUCACAUAUACGGCAGCU